UACGAAGGGGGCUAGCGUUGCUCGGAAUUACUGGGCGUAAAGCGCACGUAGGCGGCUCUUUAAGUCGGGGGUGAAAUCCUGGAGCUCAACUCCAGAACUGCCUUCGAUACUGGAGCUCGAGUCCGGGAGAGGUGAGUGGAACUGCGAGUGUAGAGGUGAAAUUCGUAGAUAUUCGCAAGAACACCAGUGGCGAAGGCGGCUCACUGGCCCGGUACUGACGCUGAGGUGCGAAAGCGUGGGGAG
This 243-nucleotide ribosomal RNA is filed under the name uncultured bacterium. Its description in RNAcentral is "partial 16S ribosomal RNA". It matches the Rfam family "Bacterial small subunit ribosomal RNA", at positions 524 to 768 of the family's 1533-position model. The record is from RNAcentral.